Molecule: ribosomal RNA, 492 nt
Filed under: uncultured bacterium
Lineage: Bacteria
Description: partial 16S ribosomal RNA
Rfam family: Bacterial small subunit ribosomal RNA
Source: RNAcentral
AGUGAACGCUGGCGGUAGGCCUAACACAUGCAAGUCGAACGGCAGCACAGUAAGAGCUUGCUCUUACGGGUGGCGAGUGGCGGACGGGUGAGGAAUAUAUCGGAAUCUACUUUUUCGUGGGGGAUAACGUAGGGAAACCUACGCUAAUACCGCAUACGACCUACCGGUGAAAGCAUGGGAUCUUCGGACCUUGUGCGAAUGAAUGCGCCGCUGUUGGUUUGGCUGGUUGGCGGGGUAAUGACCCACCAAGUCGACGAUCCGUAGCUGGUCUGAGAGGCUGGUCAGCCGCAUUGGAGCGUGAACGCGGACCAUGCUCCUGCGGGAGGCAGCAGUGGGGAAUAUUGGGCAAUGGGCGCAAGCCUGAUCCAGCCACAGCGCGUGGGUUAAGAAAGCGUUCGGGUUGUGAAGCCCUUUUGUUGGGAAAGAAAAGCAGCAGGUUAAUACCCCGCUGUUCUGACGGUAACCAAAAAAUAAGCACCGGCUAACUACGUG